GACGAACGCUGGCGGCGUGCUUAAUACAUGCAAGUCAACUGAACUUGAAGUAGCAAUAUUUCAAGGGAGGUGGCGCACGGGUGAGUAACACGUAGGUAAUCUGCCUUUAGGUCUGACAUAAUUCCGCGAAAGCGGGACUAACUUCAGAUGAUGCAGCGGCUCGACAUCGAGACAGUUGUUAAACCUUCGGGGCCUAAAGAUGAGCCUGCGUCUGAUUAGGUAGUUGGCGGGGUAACGGCCCACCAAGCCAUCGAUCAGUAGCUGGUCUGAGAGGAUGAUCAGCCACACUGGAACUGAGACACGGUCCAGACUCCUACGGGAGGCAGCAGUAAGGAAUAUUGCUCAAUGGCCGAAAGGCUGAAGCAGCAACGCCGCGUGGAGGAUGAAAUACUUUUGUAUGUAAACUCCUGUGAGAAGGGAAAAUAUGCAGAUUUUCUGCGUUGAUUGUACCUUCAGAGGAAGCCCCGG
RNAcentral lists this ribosomal RNA (468 nucleotides) under uncultured bacterium. Its description in RNAcentral is "bacterial SSU rRNA". It matches the Rfam family "Bacterial small subunit ribosomal RNA", at positions 28 to 496 of the family's 1533-position model. The record is from RNAcentral.